This 480-nucleotide ribosomal RNA is filed under the name uncultured bacterium. RNAcentral describes it as "partial 16S ribosomal RNA". It matches the Rfam family "Bacterial small subunit ribosomal RNA", at positions 28 to 507 of the family's 1533-position model. The record is from RNAcentral.
GACGAACGCUGGCGGCGUGCUUAACACAUGCAAGUCGAACGAUGAAGAAAAGAAUCGAAGCUUCGGCAGAAAUUCAUUUCGGAUUAGUGGCAGACGGGUGAGUAACGCGUGAGCAACCUACCUCUUACAAAGGGAUAGCCUCGGGAAACCGGGAUUAAUACCAUAUAACAUUGUGACGAAGCAUUUCGAUGCAAUCAAAGCUACGGCGGUAAGAGAUGGGCUCGCGUCCCAUUAACCGGAGGGUGAGGUAACGGCUCACCAUAGUGACGAUGGGUAACCGGCCUGAGAGGGUGAACGGUCACACUGGAACUGAGACACGGUCCAGACUCCUACGGGAGGCAGCAGUGGGGAAUAUUGCACAAUGGAGGGAACUCUGAUGCAGCGACGCCGCGUGAGUGAUGGAGGAAUUCGUUUCGUAAAACUCUGUUCUAUGGGAAGAAAAGGACUGUACCAUAGGAGAAAGCUCCGGCUAAAUACGUG